GACAGAGGAGGCAAGCGUUUUUCGGAAUCAUUGGGCUUAAAGCGCGCGUAGGCGGCCUUGUAAGUGUCUUGUGAAAUCCCACGGCUCACCCGUGGAACUGCAGGGCAAACUGCAAGACUUGAGGUCGGUAGAGGCGCCUGGAACUCUAGGUGGAGCGGGGAAAUGCGUAGAUAUCUAGGGGAACGCCGGAGGCGAAAGCGGGGCGCUGGGCCGAUUCUGACGCUGAUGCGCGAAAGCGUGGGGAGCAAACAUG
This 253-nucleotide ribosomal RNA is filed under the name uncultured bacterium. RNAcentral's name for it is "partial 16S ribosomal RNA". It matches the Rfam family "Bacterial small subunit ribosomal RNA", at positions 524 to 776 of the family's 1533-position model. The record is from RNAcentral.